RNAcentral lists this RNase P RNA (365 nucleotides) under uncultured Prevotella sp. RNAcentral's name for it is "Bacterial RNase P class A". It matches the Rfam family "Bacterial RNase P class A". From Rfam's summary of the family: Ribonuclease P (RNase P) is a ubiquitous endoribonuclease, found in archaea, bacteria and eukarya as well as chloroplasts and mitochondria. Its best characterised activity is the generation of mature 5'-ends of tRNAs by cleaving the 5'-leader elements of precursor-tRNAs. The record is from RNAcentral. Lineage: Bacteria; Pseudomonadati; Bacteroidota; Bacteroidia; Bacteroidales; Prevotellaceae.
CGGUUUGUCGCUGGCGUCAUAUGAUGACGAAAGAGGAAAGUCCGGGCAGUACAGGGCAUCCCACUACUGAAAGUAGUAGUAGUCCGUGAGGGCUAAGUAACGUAGAAGAAAACAACCGCAUCGGCUUGUCUGAUGUAAGGGUGAGAAGGUGGGGUAAGAGCCCACCAGUGUUAUGGUGACAUGACAGCUGUGCGUCUUGGGAACUGCAAGUUCAUGUAAACUGCCGCAUGAGGAUUGCCCGUCCGAGGCAGAGGGUAGAACGCUUGAGCUGUAUGGUGACAUACAGAGUAGAUAAAUGACAGACACCAGCUGGUGUGGCAGGAAUCAGCUACUGCCAGCAGGAACAGAACCCGGCUUAUAGGAAC